UACGGGGGGGGCAAGCGUUGUUCGGAAUUACUGGGCGUAAAGGGCGCGUAGGCGGCCUUCUAAGUCGGACGUGAAAUCCCUCGGCUCAACCGAGGAACUGCGUCCGAUACUGAAAGGCUUGAAUCCGGGAGAGGGAUGUGGAAUUCCAGGUGUAGCGGUGAAAUGCGUAGAUAUCGGGAGGAACACCAGUGGCGAAGGCGACUACCUGGCCUGUUCUUGACGCUGAGGCGCGAAAGCUAGGGGAGCAAACGGG
This 253-nucleotide ribosomal RNA is filed under the name uncultured bacterium. RNAcentral's name for it is "partial 16S ribosomal RNA". It matches the Rfam family "Bacterial small subunit ribosomal RNA", at positions 524 to 776 of the family's 1533-position model. The record is from RNAcentral.